AGUCGAAAUCCGCUAAGGAGUGU
Molecule: non-coding RNA, 23 nt
Filed under: Arabidopsis thaliana (thale cress)
Lineage: Eukaryota; Viridiplantae; Streptophyta; Magnoliopsida; Brassicales; Brassicaceae
Also listed under: 1 other name
Source: RNAcentral